Molecule: ribosomal RNA, 116 nt
Filed under: Heyndrickxia coagulans
Lineage: Bacteria; Bacillati; Bacillota; Bacilli; Caryophanales; Bacillaceae
Also listed under: 5 other names
Source: RNAcentral
UCCGGUGAUGAUGGCGGAAAGGUCACACCCGUUUCCAUCCCGAACACGGAAGUUAAGCUUUCCAGCGCCGAUGGUAGUUGGGGGUUUCCCCCUGCGAGAGUAGGACGUUGCCGGGC